RNAcentral lists this transfer RNA (90 nucleotides) under Calditrichota bacterium. Its description in RNAcentral is "Calditrichaeota bacterium tRNA-Ser". It matches the Rfam family "tRNA". From Rfam's summary of the family: Transfer RNA (tRNA) molecules are approximately 80 nucleotides in length. Their secondary structure includes four short double-helical elements and three loops (D, anti-codon, and T loops). Lineage: Bacteria; Pseudomonadati; Calditrichota. The record is from RNAcentral.
GGAGAAGUGGCCGAGAGGCUGAAGGCGGUGGAUUGCUAAUCCAUUAUAGGGAGUAAAUCUCUAUCCAGGGUUCGAAUCCCUGCUUCUCCG